UCAGAUAUUUCACGAAGAUAUC
Molecule: non-coding RNA, 22 nt
Filed under: Arabidopsis thaliana (thale cress)
Lineage: Eukaryota; Viridiplantae; Streptophyta; Magnoliopsida; Brassicales; Brassicaceae
Source: RNAcentral